RNAcentral lists this transfer RNA (72 nucleotides) under Bos taurus (domestic cattle). It matches the Rfam family "tRNA". Rfam says of the family: Transfer RNA (tRNA) molecules are approximately 80 nucleotides in length. Their secondary structure includes four short double-helical elements and three loops (D, anti-codon, and T loops). The record is from Rfam by way of RNAcentral. Lineage: Eukaryota; Metazoa; Chordata; Mammalia; Artiodactyla; Bovidae. RNAcentral also lists the same sequence under 1 other name.
UCCCUGUGAUCCAGAGGUUAAGAUUCUGCACUCCCAAUGCAGGGGUCCCAGGUUCAAUCCCUGGCCAGGGAA